This 252-nucleotide ribosomal RNA is filed under the name uncultured bacterium. RNAcentral describes it as "partial 16S ribosomal RNA". It matches the Rfam family "Bacterial small subunit ribosomal RNA", at positions 524 to 776 of the family's 1533-position model. The record is from RNAcentral.
UACGGAGGAUGCGAGCGUUAUCCGGAUUUAUUGGGUUUAAAGGGUGCGUAGGCGGGCUUUUAAGUCAGCGGUAAAAAUUCGGGGCUCAACCCCGUCCGGCCGUUGAAACUGGGGGCCUUGAGUGGGCGAGAAGAAGGCGGAAUGCGUGGUGUAGCGGUGAAAUGCAUAGGUAUCACGCAGAACCCCGAUUGCGAAGGCAGCCUUCCGGCGCCCUACUGACGCUGAGGCACGAGAGUGCGGGGAUCGAACAGG